AGAGAAAGACGACUAAAGUUUCUUAAACUAUCUGAUCAUAUAGUUUAUUCUCAACGCUGUUAAUUAUAAUCAUAUAAAAGUGGAGUCUCAUAGCUCAGCUGGUUAGAGCGCUACACUGAUAAUGUAGAGGUCGGCAGUUCAAGUCUGCCUGAGACUACUACGUUUAGUUUAUUACUAAAUAAAAAUGAGGAUUUUAGUAGCUGAGAUUUUUUUCUGAAAACUCAUUAUAUGGGGGAUUAGCUCAGCUGGCUAGAGCGCUAGAUUUGCAUUCUAGAGGUCGUGGGUUCGACUCCCACAUUCUCCACAAUCAGCUUUAUGCUGAAAAUGUUCUUUGACAUAUUGAAAAAAAUACAUGAAAUUAAAAAUUUCUAAACAAAUCUAAAUUUAAUUAAUUAGUUAAUUAAUUGAGUUUACGAGCAAUAUAAUUUAUAACUCAUAAAAAUACAAAAGUUAC
RNAcentral lists this transfer RNA (454 nucleotides) under uncultured Flavobacteriaceae bacterium. RNAcentral describes it as "16S-23S ribosomal RNA intergenic spacer". The stretch from base 84 to 157 matches the Rfam family "tRNA". Lineage: Bacteria; Pseudomonadati; Bacteroidota; Flavobacteriia; Flavobacteriales; Flavobacteriaceae. The record is from RNAcentral.